CCUACGGGUGGCUGCAGUGGGGACUAUUGCACAAUGGGGGACACCCUGAUGCAUCGACGCCGCGUGAGUGCAGAAGUAUUUCUGUAUGUAAAGCUCUAUCAGCAGGGAAGAAAAUUACGGUACCUGAUUAAGCAUCCCCGGCUAACUACGUACCAGCCGCCGCGGGAAUACGUAGGGGGCCUGCUUUAGCCGGAUUUACUGGGUGUAAAGGGAGCGUAGACGGCAGCACAAGUCUGGAGGGAAAUGCCGGGGCUUAACCCCGGAACUGCUGUGGAAACUGUGCAGCUAGAGUGCAGGAGAGGUAAGUGGAAUUCCUAGUGUAGCGGUGAAAUGCGUAGAUAUUAGGAGGAACACCAGUGGCGAAGGCGGCUUACUGGACUGUAACUGACGUUGAGGCUCGAAAGCGUGGGGAGCAAACAGGAUUAGAUACCCGGGUAGUC
This 440-nucleotide ribosomal RNA is filed under the name uncultured bacterium. RNAcentral describes it as "partial 16S ribosomal RNA". It matches the Rfam family "Bacterial small subunit ribosomal RNA", at positions 338 to 795 of the family's 1533-position model. The record is from RNAcentral.